RNAcentral lists this long non-coding RNA (882 nucleotides) under Sus scrofa (pig). RNAcentral's name for it is "lncRNA (ENSSSCG00005004614.1)". Lineage: Eukaryota; Metazoa; Chordata; Mammalia; Artiodactyla; Suidae. The record is from RNAcentral.
UCCCAGGUGGGCGCGGCUCGGGCUCGCAAGUUGACUGAGAAUUCUGUGUCUCUGGGACCCGCUUUCCUGCCCUGAGGCCAGGUCUGCACUUGCAAGCGAUGCCACGAGGAGCCCCAGGCCCUGUCCGCUCCUGCCCCGCCCCUGCCUCUGGGCCCAGUGCCCGGCUGGCCCGAGGCCCGAUCCAUGCCCGAGGCCCCAUGCGGAGGCACCUCCAGUGGAUCAAUUGCUCUGCGAGGCCGUCUUCUCCCCUGACCACCGCCCAGAAGGGCCAGUCCAGGGGUCGCUCUACCGGGCUCCUCGCCUCGAGGGGGGAGCAGUGACCCUCUCCACACCCACCAGGUGACUGCGAGGACCACCCUGGAGCAAAUCAGCCUUGUCAAGAGGGACAUCGCUAGCCAUGCCCAUCUGACCCCUGAAGAAUCCUGGUCCUUCAGAAUGAGGCAGGGGACCCACCAGCUCGCACAGCACCCACCCCUGCUCUUGGCUUCAGAGCAGCCCUUUGACCUGGAUUGCACGAAGGCUGGCACCCCCAGCGGCCACGACCCCCAUGGCCUCCCUUCCACUCAUGCCUGCUGCCCACCGGCCUGGUUCAGCAUCCAGGCGCCUUAUCAACCAACUUUCCGGGUAAGUAAACCCAGGCCCCCCAGGUGUGUCGCCUGGUUUUCCCAGGGCUAGGGGCCUGCUGGGAGGGCGCGAGCGAACUCAGGACUCCAGUCUGGUCCCCGAGGGGCUCCCCUCCUCUGCCCGGGUCUGGAAAGGAACCGUCCGGUGUGGGUUGGUGAGUGUUCGGGGCGGCGGCGACAGCAGGAAGGAGGUGAGAGAGGACGGCCUCGGCGCCGCCGCCCGGUGCGCACGUGCUCCCCGCUCCCUCCCGAAGGGGGC